Non-coding RNA from Podarcis lilfordi (Lilford's wall lizard), 84 nucleotides. The record is from the annotation of a GenBank genome assembly. Lineage: Eukaryota; Metazoa; Chordata; Lepidosauria; Squamata; Lacertidae.
UGCAUGCCUCACUAAUUAGAUGAGUUGGUUAGAGGAUGGUGCUAAUAACACCAAGGUUGCAGGUUUGAUCCCCGUACAGGACAG